UUAAGUCUCUCGUGAGACUCUCAGGAGCCUGCCAUAUUAAAGUUUAAAUGGCCUUUACACUUGGACAGGGGAGCCAGUGAGCAAUUGCUAUCAAAACAAAGGUGGAGCUGGGCUGUCGGAGAAGACAGUGGCAGGAUCAUGGUAUAAUCCGUCCCACAUGGCCAACCAACUGCUCUGAGGGUGACAGCCUCUUAUUACAAAAAAGAAAAAAAAAAGAAAGACUUUGUUUCAGUUCUUCCAAGGACUUUGCUGAUUCACUCUGAACAGGACUUGCUGCUGGUACUUCAGAGGCCUGACCUAGCAGGGAGGAGCUCAGUUGCCUAUGGUUAACAUUAACCCACUCUAAACAGCCAGCAUGGGACUGAAUCAAUGUAAUAAAGAAGGUGUAAUAGUAAUAGUAUCAGACUGAAAGAAGUGUGAUGAUUUGGUAAGAAACGAGAGAGACAGAGAGACUUUUGUGCUCUUUUCCAAAAAAAAAAAAAAAGUUCUAAGGAUAAAUUAUACAAAGUUUGUAAGACUGUUUCAUUCAUAAGAAUCUACCCAAGAUGGCAGAUAUUUCAUUUAAUGAUAAGUAUUAUUGAUUAAAAAGUUCAAUCUAAAGUAAAAUGCAUUAUUUUACCCAA
Myxocyprinus asiaticus (Chinese sucker) is the source of this 623-nucleotide long non-coding RNA. RefSeq lists it as uncharacterized. NCBI's taxonomy places the organism in Eukaryota, Metazoa, Chordata, Actinopteri, Cypriniformes, Catostomidae. The transcript is spliced from 2 exons. The record is from RefSeq and is a predicted model, not a curated record.